Molecule: transfer RNA, 69 nt
Filed under: Megathymus yuccae yuccae
Lineage: Eukaryota; Metazoa; Arthropoda; Insecta; Lepidoptera; Hesperiidae
Description: tRNA-Met
Source: RNAcentral
UUUAAGAUAAGCUAAUUUAAGCUUUUGGGUUCAUACCCCAAAUAUAAAGUAAACCAUCUUUUCUUAAAA